AACAAAAUUGAACACCGUCAGAGUAACGUGAUCUUUGUAACUUAUUUGAUUUAUCAUACAAUGAGAUAUUGAAUCUGCCACUGGAACAAAAGCAUGUUGUACUAGACGCACGUUUUGUCUCAAUUGGAAUAACUAUGACACAUGAAUCAAAACAGUUAAGAGUCCAAGUGAAAUUCGAAGAACGUGGAAAACCAAAAUUUCUGAAAUGCUGUAUCAAAUGGGCUCCGCCAAUCAAUACAUAAAAAAGACUAAGUGUUUCAAACAUAACCAUGAAAAAGCCAAGAAAAAAAAAGGAAACACGAA
Molecule: long non-coding RNA, 303 nt
Filed under: Mytilus galloprovincialis (Mediterranean mussel)
Lineage: Eukaryota; Metazoa; Mollusca; Bivalvia; Mytilida; Mytilidae
Source: RNAcentral